UUUAGGAUAAAAAGUUUAAAUAUCAAAUAAAUGUAUGCCAGGGGUCAUUUGCUUUUAAGAUUCUUCAGCAAAUUAUUAAGCAAAAAGAGCAUGCCUUGCUUUUUCAUGGUAAAGAGUAGAAGGGAGCGGGGAGAGGGGAAACUUUACUUCAUACCAUUUGAUCCUCAUAUUUUUUUGCAUCUUAAGAAGAGAACAAAUGAUCCUACCAAUAUUGAACUAUUUUUCUCUCUUUGAUUAGAUAUGGUCCGGCUUGCUUUCACAGAUGUUUCGAUAAAAAAUUUUGAAGAAUUUUUUAACCUCCACAGAACCACCAAGUCCAAAAUUGAAGACAUUAGAGCAGAACAAGAGAGAGAAGGUGAGAAGCUGAUCCGCCUGCACUUCCAGAUGGAACAGAUUGUCUACUGCCAGGACCAGGUAUACAGGGGUGCGUUGCAGAAGGUCAGAGAGAAGGAGCUGGAAGAAGAAAAGAAGAAGAAAUCCUGGGAUUUUGGGGCUUUCCAGUCCAGCUCGGCAAC
This 515-nucleotide small RNA is filed under the name Pan troglodytes (chimpanzee). RNAcentral's name for it is "retained intron". Lineage: Eukaryota; Metazoa; Chordata; Mammalia; Primates; Hominidae. The record is from RNAcentral.